Molecule: long non-coding RNA, 672 nt
Organism: Cavia porcellus (domestic guinea pig)
Lineage: Eukaryota; Metazoa; Chordata; Mammalia; Rodentia; Caviidae
Exons: 4
Source: RefSeq, a predicted model, not a curated record
AUGCAGACUGCAAGGUGGCGCAGGGCUGGGCUCAGCGGGGUUAGGAACCCCUCAUAAGGUUCUGACUGGGUCCUUUCCAAGGAGCACGAGCACGCCCAGGACCAACGGCCCCCUCCCACCCCCAGAGUCCCUGCUUUCGAUCUCCCCUCUACCAGCUCCUGUCUCCCCCUUCCACCGCCGCUCUGCACUCAGGUACCUCUGGGGCUGGGGAUAUGGCUUAGCAGCACAGCAUCUGCCUGGCAAGCACGAGGUCCUGAAUUCGAUGCUGGUACAAAAAAACAGAAGUGAAGAAAAGAGAAACAAGAAAGAAAGAUUAAACAGAACAAUGAAACCACAUUUUGAAACAGCAUCUAGCCCAGAGCCUGGCAUAGAGAUUGACGCUUGUGGUAUGAACAAAUAAAUCAAUGAGUGAAGAGAAGUAAACGACACAGGAUACCAGAGGAAGAAUGAGGAAGAAUAUAAAAGGGUAUUACUAGCUGUUUCAACAAACCCCAGUAUUUCAAUAGCUUAGCAUUGUUGAAGGACAUUUUUCAUAUAAUAGCUUAAUGCAGGUGUUGCUGGCUUUCCUUCCUAUAGUUACUUGGAGAUGCAGGUUUGGUUUUGUGGCUCUGCCAUCAUCCAGGAUUCUAGUGCUCUGUAUCCAAUAAACAGAAGAGUAACCCUUGGAGAGUG